UGAUUGGAUUCGUCGGUAGAGCAUGAGACUCAAUCUCAGGGUUGUGGGUUCAAGCCCCACUUUGAAAG
This is a non-coding RNA of Podarcis lilfordi (Lilford's wall lizard), 68 nucleotides long. Lineage: Eukaryota; Metazoa; Chordata; Lepidosauria; Squamata; Lacertidae. The record is from the annotation of a GenBank genome assembly.